This is a long non-coding RNA of Xenia sp. Carnegie-2017, 987 nucleotides long. RefSeq lists it as uncharacterized. The record is from RefSeq and is a predicted model, not a curated record. Lineage: Eukaryota; Metazoa; Cnidaria; Anthozoa; Malacalcyonacea; Xeniidae. The transcript has 2 exons.
GAAGAACCAUUAUAUCCCUAUAUCUAUAUUGUGCUCCUCCCCCCCCCGUAAAUUUUCUUACAAAAAUUCUUAUUCUUAUUUUGUGGUAUAGGACUUAUUAUGAAAACAUUAAACCGAAAAGUACUGUUUUUUAAUCAAUGGUCUAAACAACAUGAAACCUAGAACCAUCUCAAAAAAUAUUAAUAAAAGAAACUUUAUUCAAAUUUAACGAACAGAAUAUGAGGGGGGGGUCAUUAUGUUUCAUACAGGAUAUGUACCAUUGGUAUGUACUGGUAAUGGCAAACUCAAAAUGAGGGAAACAUUAAAUCCAGGACAGAGAAAGAGGGUGCUCAGAGAUUGACAAUAUGUGAUCAUAAGUGGAAUUAUGUAGAAACUAGAGAGCCAAAAAAACGAUGCACUAGUCAAAAGCAGGGAGUGUAUGAUGCAAGAGGUUUGCAAGCAGAAUACAGGAAAUGGACAUUGUGACAAAGUUGUGCUAAGCUUUAAAUGCCACCCAUUCAAGUUUAAUUCUUCAAAAUCCAACACAAUCAUUGAAGCACUUAUGACUGUUUGCCUGUUUCCUUGGAAAUUUAUUUUAUGUUGAGAUGGUAAAUGCUGACAUUUGUGUGACAUCAUGCCAAGAGUUUUAGCAUGGACAGACAAAAUAGUUGGAGAAGAGAGGAGAAAAGUCUAAAUUUGAACAGUUGGAAGGGAAUGACUGAAAUCGUUUGUUGCAUCCAAGCCAAUCUUCACCAUCAUUGUCUUUGCAUAUUUUGCAAACACCAGUAUUUUGCCUACACAAAAACAAAGAAAUGAAUUUAAAAUGAAUUUAAGUUCCUCAUAAACUAUAUAAUGCUUUAAAGAUUGGUUAAAACAUACUCAUGAAUGUCAUCAUGGCAAGAGUUAAAUAUGAGUGAUAUUAACUUCUCUCUCCCUAAUCCCAUUUUAAGAUGUAAUUCUCUAAUUCCAUUUUCAUGUUAGCAAUUUCACUAAAAAAAUUCAUUAGCA